CACGUAGGGGGCAAGCGUUGUCCGGAUUUACUGGGCGUAAAGGGCGCGUAGGCGGCGCGGUAAGUCACUUGUGAAAUCUCUGAGCUUAACUCAGAACUGCCAAGUGAUACUGCAGUGCUAGAGUGUGGAAGGGGCAAUCGGAAUUCUUGGUGUAGCGGUGAAAUGCGUAGAUAUCAAGAGGAACACCUGAGGUGAAGACGGGUUGCUGGGCCAACACUGACGCUGAGGCGCGAAAGCCAGGGGAGCAAACGGG
This 253-nucleotide ribosomal RNA is filed under the name uncultured bacterium. Its description in RNAcentral is "partial 16S ribosomal RNA". It matches the Rfam family "Bacterial small subunit ribosomal RNA", at positions 524 to 776 of the family's 1533-position model. The record is from RNAcentral.